GACAGAGGGUGCAACCGUUGUUCGGAAUUACUGGGCGUAAAGCGCGUGUAGGCGGCUAUGUAAGUCGGGCGUGAAAUCCCACGGCUCAACCGUGGAAGUGCACUCGAAACUGCAUAGCUAGAGUCCUGGAGAGGAAGGUGGAAUGCUUGGUGUAGAGGUGAAAUUCGUAGAUAUCAAGCGGAACACCGGUGGCGAAGGCGGCCUUCUGGACAGUGACUGACGCUGAGACGCGAAAGCGUGGGGAGCAAACAGG
RNAcentral lists this ribosomal RNA (253 nucleotides) under uncultured bacterium. Its description in RNAcentral is "partial 16S ribosomal RNA". It matches the Rfam family "Bacterial small subunit ribosomal RNA", at positions 524 to 776 of the family's 1533-position model. The record is from RNAcentral.